This 390-nucleotide long non-coding RNA is filed under the name Numida meleagris (helmeted guineafowl). RNAcentral's name for it is "lncRNA (ENSNMEG00000015037.1)". Lineage: Eukaryota; Metazoa; Chordata; Aves; Galliformes; Numididae. The record is from RNAcentral.
UGGCCAAUAGCAGAGACCUCUUUCCUUUUGCAUCAAAGAAGAUGCUGCAGAGCUCCUUUAUGCAGUACAGGACGCUGUGCAGGACCCUCUAUGCAAUACCAACACACCAAGCAAUCUUUAUGUUGCCUGUUAGCAGUCCUGAAGGUUACUGCAUGGUUGAAAUGGCUGCAGACAGAAAUCCUCCUGUACAACACAGACUCCAUCUCUCUUAUCAGGCAUCUCAGUAUCAGAAGAUUAUUUCUGCAUGGUAUGUUUUAAGUUGUUUUGAACUUGAGAAUUUGAACUGUGAUUGAACAUUCACUUUAUAAGUUUGUUCACUAGAAGACAGGACAAUUAAUUAUAGGUAGGCUAAUUAUUACAUGAAUUGCAUUGCAUGCACUGUCAGUAAUA